Molecule: ribosomal RNA, 882 nt
Filed under: Staphylococcus aureus
Lineage: Bacteria; Bacillati; Bacillota; Bacilli; Caryophanales; Staphylococcaceae
Description: partial 23S ribosomal RNA
Rfam family: Bacterial large subunit ribosomal RNA
Source: RNAcentral
GAGAAUGCCGGUGUGAGUAGCGAAAGACGGGUGAGAAUCCCGUCCACCGAUUGACUAAGGUUUCCAGAGGAAGGCUCGUCCGCUCUGGGUUAGUCGGGUCCUAAGCUGAGGCCGACAGGCGUAGGCGAUGGAUAACAGGUUGAUAUUCCUGUACCACCUAUAAUCGUUUUAAUCGAUGGGGGGACGCAGUAGGAUAGGCGAAGCGUGCGAUUGGAUUGCACGUCUAAGCAGUAAGGCUGAGUAUUAGGCAAAUCCGGUACUCGUUAAGGCUGAGCUGUGAUGGGGAGAAGACAUUGUGUCUUCGAGUCGUUGAUUUCACACUGCCGAGAAAAGCCUCUAGAUAGAAAAUAGGUGCCCGUACCGCAAACCGACACAGGUAGUCAAGAUGAGAAUUCUAAGGUGAGCGAGCGAACUCUCGUUAAGGAACUCGGCAAAAUGACCCCGUAACUUCGGGAGAAGGGGUGCUCUUUAGGGUUAACGCCCAGAAGAGCCGCAGUGAAUAGGCCCAAGCGACUGUUUAUCAAAAACACAGGUCUCUGCUAAACCGUAAGGUGAUGUAUAGGGGCUGACGCCUGCCCGGUGCUGGAAGGUUAAGAGGAGUGGUUAGCUUCUGCGAAGCUACGAAUCGAAGCCCCAGUAAACGGCGGCCGUAACUAUAACGGUCCUAAGGUAGCGAAAUUCCUUGUCGGGUAAGUUCCGACCCGCACGAAAGGCGUAACGAUUUGGGCACUGUCUCAACGAGAGACUCGGUGAAAUCAUAGUACCUGUGAAGAUGCAGGUUACCCGCGACAGGACGGAAAGACCCCGUGGAGCUUUACUGUAGCCUGAUAUUGAAAUUCGGCACAGCUUGUACAGGAUAGGUAGGAGCCUUUGAAACGUGAG